AGUGAACGCUGGCGGCAGGCCUAAUACAUGCAAGUCGAACGGCAGCACAGCAGAGCUUGCUCUGUGGGUGGCGAGUGGCGGACGGGUGAGGAAUACGUGGGAAUCUGCCCAGUCGUGGGGAUAACGUAGGGAAACUUACGCUAAUACCGCAUGCGCCUUCGGGGAAAGCCGGGGACCUUCGGGCCUGGCGCGAUUGGAUGAGCCCACGUCGGAUUAGCUAGUUGGCGGGGUAAAGGCCCACAAGGCGACGAUCCGUAGCUGGUCUGAGAGGAUGAUCAGCCACACUGGAACUGAGACACGGUCCAGACUCCUACGGGAGGCAGCAGUAGGGAAUAUUGGACAAUGGGCGCAAGCCUGAUCAGCCAUGCCGCGUGAGU
RNAcentral lists this ribosomal RNA (377 nucleotides) under uncultured bacterium. Its description in RNAcentral is "bacterial SSU rRNA". It matches the Rfam family "Bacterial small subunit ribosomal RNA", at positions 29 to 406 of the family's 1533-position model. The record is from RNAcentral.